UCACCUGUUUAUCAAAAACAUGUCUAUUUGAAAUAAAAAUAUAAUAUAUAGUCAAAUCUGCUCAAUGAUAAAUUAAUUAAAUAGCUGCAGUAUAAAUAACUGUACAAAGGUAGCAAAAUAAUUAGCUUUCUAAUUAAAAGCCGGAAUGAACGAUUUAAUGAAAAAAUAACUUUAUUAAAUUUUUAAUUUAAAAUUUAAAUCUAAAUAAAAAUUUUUAGAUUAAUUAAUUAGACAAAAAGACCCUAUAAAAUUUUAUAAAUUUAAUUAUAAACUAAAUUUAUUUAACUGGGGAAGUUUUAAAAUUUAAAUAAUUUUUAUAAUUAAAUAACAUUAUUAUCUAUGAAUAAUUAAACUUUUUUAAAAAAAAUAAAUUAAAAUUACUUUAGGGAUAACAGAAUAAUUUUUUUUUUUAGUACUUAUAAAUAAAAAAGUUUAUUACCUCGAUGUUGAAUUAAGAUUAAAAUAUAACGAAAAAUUUAUAAAUUUAAG
Molecule: ribosomal RNA, 489 nt
Filed under: Cascogaster sp. CXX-2005
Lineage: Eukaryota; Metazoa; Arthropoda; Insecta; Hymenoptera; Braconidae
Description: partial 16S ribosomal RNA
Source: RNAcentral